AGCACUAAAAUAGAACAUGCGAAAAGGAAUAGGGACCAAAUGGGUAAUUAUUCCAAAUCCAGUACACAUGUUGUUUUUAGGAGUGACUAAUGGUCAGAGGACCAAAAUGAAAAUAAAAUAAAAUAAAAUGGUAAAUUUAAAAGAGAAAAGAAAAUUCAAAUCAGGACUAUAUCAAAACAUACUCAAAAGCGGGAGGAUUUGGGCAACAAUUUUCCCACCCCUUUAAAACCAUGCAGAUCUAAAGGAGUUUGGGUCGUGCAUUCAGGUCAUGUCUUAAAACGACGCCGUUUUGGGACUUCUGGAACUUGGCUAAAACGACGCCGUAUCAUGGUCCCUAUAUAUACCAAAAAAAUUAAAAAUUAAAAAUCAUUUGUAAGCUCAGUUUUUUAAAAAUAAAACUUUAGGACCCGUUUUUUUUUUUCUCUCCUCCCUUCCCUUAUCUGGCCUUGGUGCCGGCUAGUCUCCGCCGUGGCCACCAAUCAUCGACGAUGAAGACUGCCGCCUUCGGUGGCCGGAGACCCCAAAAAAACUUUAUUUUUAUCCCUAUUUUUUGGAGAAAUCGGAUCUGGGGUCAAAAUCCCUAGGAUCUGGUCAACGCUCAAUAACAAAAAAGAAGACUUUUCGGCUUUUAUCCUUUUUCGGCGUGGCUGUAGGUGAAUCCCAAGGGAUUCGGCAGCCUUCAAGGCCAAAAGGACCACCGACAAUGGCGACGCAUGUGAAAGCUUGAGUCUUUUGUAUUUAUAUACAUGUUUUGAAAUAAAAAAAAUAAAAAUGAGAAUACCUUCUUUCUUUUUUUUAAGCACUUGUAGUUUUUUGCUUUCUUGUAUUCUAUUUUUUGAUUUUCUAUAUUGAAAAAAUUACAUGGCUGUUGUGGCUUUUAUAGCCGAAUGUGUUAUAUUAUACUACUAUUUUUCUUUUUUCUUUUUUGUCGUUCUUUGCGUGUUGUGUUUCUAUCUUUUUGUUUUUUUCUUUUUUGCAGGUGUCCAUGACAAGGUCAACUGUGUUGGGGAGUUGCACCUUGCCAUUUCGGUGAAAGAGGCAGAUAAUGCGUCAAACUUUGGGACGUGAGCAUGCCGACGUGGUGGGAGAGCGGCAUUGGUGGCCUUAGGAAAUCUAGGGUUUCUAUUAUUUUUUAUGUUUUGAGC
RNAcentral lists this long non-coding RNA (1145 nucleotides) under Gossypium barbadense (sea-island cotton). RNAcentral's name for it is "long non-coding RNA (GBAR_LNC017541)". Lineage: Eukaryota; Viridiplantae; Streptophyta; Magnoliopsida; Malvales; Malvaceae. The record is from RNAcentral.